GUAAUUAUUAAGUUUUUUUCAGACGCUGAUUGAAAAUUAAAAAGGUUAUAGUUUUGUCCAACCGGCGGGCAAGCCCGCCGAGGAAACAUGAGUGCGCAAAAGACAAGGGUGCAGACAGAGUGCCUGCCGCUCAUCAGUAAUUAAACUAUGCGGGCUUACAGCGCCUCCCGACCAGUAGCAAGCUACUGAAUUUAAUGAUCCUUCCGCAGGUUCACCUACGGAAA
This 224-nucleotide unclassified non-coding RNA is filed under the name uncultured fungus. Its description in RNAcentral is "sequence contains ITS1". Lineage: Eukaryota; Fungi. The record is from RNAcentral.